AUGUUGGUCCUUUUUAUAGAUCUUGCCAUCUUUGUUUGCAAGGUGACCAGUCAUUUAAAGUAUUUGAGAAUCCUGAAGGGAAGCACAUGGCAAAGCCAUAAUUACCUUUUAGUUAUAUUUCAAGUUGUAGGAAAGUUGGAAUCAAUUUGGAAAGCAUCUUUCUAUUGCAGAUAUUUUAUUAGUGGCUUGAAGACUUACACUCCGUUUGAUGUUAUAGAAAUAGUGAGGUUAUGCCACAAUGCUGAUAGACUUGGUACUUGUAGGAUGGAGAGGAGAAGACUGAAAAGGAUGUUGAUAUGA
This 300-nucleotide ribosomal RNA is filed under the name Triticum aestivum (bread wheat). RNAcentral describes it as "partial small subunit ribosomal RNA". Lineage: Eukaryota; Viridiplantae; Streptophyta; Magnoliopsida; Poales; Poaceae. The record is from RNAcentral.